Molecule: long non-coding RNA, 711 nt
Filed under: Salmo salar (Atlantic salmon)
Lineage: Eukaryota; Metazoa; Chordata; Actinopteri; Salmoniformes; Salmonidae
Description: lncRNA (ENSSSAG00000091790.1)
Source: RNAcentral
CAGGAUGUCCUUGUAGUUCCUGACCCAGGCAUACUGCAGAAUGUCCUUGUAGUUCAUGACCCAGGCAUACUGGAGAAUGUCCUUGUAGUUCCUGACCCAGGCAUACUGGAGAAUUGUCCUUGUAGUUCAUGACCCAGGCAUACUGGAGAAUGUCCUUGUAGUUCAUGACCCAGGCAUACUGGAGAAUGUCCUUGUAGUUCAUGACCCAGGCAUACUGGAGAAUGUCCUUGUAGUUCCUGACCCAGGCAUACUGCAGAAUGUCCUUGUAGUUCAUGACCCAGGCAUACUGGAGAAUGUCCUUGUAGUUCCUGACCCAGGCAUACUGGAGAAUGUCCUUGUAGUUCAUGACCCAGGCAUACUGGAGAAUGUUCUUGUAGUUCAACUUAUCAGUCAAAAAACAAACAAAAAAACUAUAAAACCUCAGAAGUCAACAUGGUCACUAAACUGGACAAACAAGAAACAUUGGUAGGACCCUUUCUUUAGGGGUCCAGGAAAAUGUCAAAUGCUGCAUUUACACACAGGCAGCCCAAUUCGGAUGUUUCUUUCAACUAAUUGGUAUUUUGGCCAAUCAGCAGUUACUGGUGCAUUUAGGAGCAGGUAGUGGUGUGUUUAGGAGCAGGUACUGGUGUAUUUAGGAGCAGGUACUGGUGUAUUUAGGAGCAGGUACUGGUGUAUUUAGGAGCAGGUACUGAUGUAAUUAGGAGCAGGUAC